This 481-nucleotide ribosomal RNA is filed under the name uncultured bacterium. RNAcentral describes it as "partial 16S ribosomal RNA". It matches the Rfam family "Bacterial small subunit ribosomal RNA", at positions 28 to 523 of the family's 1533-position model. The record is from RNAcentral.
GACGAACGCUGGCGGCGUGCUUAACACAUGCAAGUCGAACGCUGAAGCCCUUCGGGGUGGAUGAGUGGCGAACGGGUGAGUAACACGUGGGUAAUCUGCCCUGCCCUCUGGGAUAAGCCUUGGAAACGGGGUCUAAUACCGGAUAGGACACAUCGCCGCAUGGUGUGUGUGUGGAAAGUUCCGGCGGUCCAGGGUGAGCCGGCGGCCUUUCACCUUGUUGGAGGGGUAAUGGCCUACCAAGGCGUCGACGGGUAGCCGGCCUGAGAGGUUGACCGGCCACACGGGGACGUAGACACGGGCCGGACUCCUACGGGAGGCAGCAGUGGGGAAUCUUGCGCAGUGGGGGAAAGCCUGACGCAGCAUCGCCGCGUGGGGGAUGACGGCCUUCGGGUUGUAAACCUCUUUCGACCGGGACGAAGGAUUCGUUUGACGGUACCGGUAGAAGAAGCACCGGCUAACUACGUGCCAGCCGCCGCCGUAA